AAAGCUGCCUCUGUGGUGCACAGCAGGUAUUAUCGGAUAGCUGCCUUUGGUUACUACGCCUACAAAAUGCACCCGGAUGAUAUUCUCUACAACUGCCUGCCACUCUAUCACUCUGCAGGGAACAUUAUGGGAGUUGGCCAAUGUCUAAUCCAUGGGCUCACCGUGGUGAUCAGGAAGAAGUUCUCGGCCAGUCGCUUCUGGGAUGAC
This is a non-coding RNA of Tinamus guttatus (white-throated tinamou), 207 nucleotides long. Lineage: Eukaryota; Metazoa; Chordata; Aves; Tinamiformes; Tinamidae. The record is from RefSeq and is a predicted model, not a curated record.